RNAcentral lists this ribosomal RNA (425 nucleotides) under uncultured bacterium. Its description in RNAcentral is "bacterial SSU rRNA". It matches the Rfam family "Bacterial small subunit ribosomal RNA", at positions 359 to 776 of the family's 1533-position model. The record is from RNAcentral.
GAAUUUUGCGCAAUGGGCGAAAGCCUGACGCAGCGACGCCGCGUGUACGAUGAAGGCCCUUGGGUCGUAAAGUACUGUCAACAGGGACGAAAAUAUGCAGGUUAAUAACCUGUAGACUUGACGGUACCUGUGGAGGAAGCACCGGCCAACUCUGUGCCAGCAGCCGCGGUAAUACAGAGGGUGCAAACGUUGCUCGGCGUUACUGGGCGUAAAGCGCGUGUAGGCGGUCCGUUAGGCCAGUUGUGAAAUCCCAUGGCUCAACCAUGGAAGGGCGACUGGAACCGGCGGACUGGAGUGCCGAAGAGGAUGGCGGAAUUCCUAGUGUAGAGGUGAAAUUCGUAGAUAUUAGGAGGAACACCGGUGGCGAAGGCGGCCAUCUGGGAGGUAACUGACGCUGAGACGCGAAAGCGUGGGGAGCAAACAGG